This is an RNA transcript of Fundulus heteroclitus (mummichog), 1363 nucleotides long. RefSeq lists it as uncharacterized. The record is from RefSeq and is a predicted model, not a curated record. Lineage: Eukaryota; Metazoa; Chordata; Actinopteri; Cyprinodontiformes; Fundulidae. The transcript has 5 exons.
GAGAGAGAGGGAGCAGAGAGGGGCAGCCUACACAGUAACACAUAGACUGGAUAAAAAAUGGCAAUGAUAUUGAUAGUAAUGAUAAUGAUGGCAAUAAUGAUAGCAAUAAGACUAUAAAGAGUGGCUGUAAUUGUAACAGAGUAGGAAUACGGGGACAGCAGGAAACUCCCAACCACAGAUCCAGCUUCCACAGCUCUAGGAACACCUGCUUAUAAUUAUAUUGAAAAUAGCCACCUUUAUAACAUCUCCCCAAAAAAUGUGCUAUACAUUGAUUGAUUGUUGGUUGUUAUUGACACUUUACUUGACAGCUCCUGAUGCCCAAAGCUUUCCAAAUAUAUCAGCUGGACUCAGCUGAUCCUUUGCGCUUUGGUGACGAGCAAUAUUUAGGCGUAUUCAGGUUUAAUGUCUCUUUAAUUGAAACAAAACAAAAUCCUUCAUGUUCAGAAGGUGUGUGCUGUUUUGUUGUUGUCCAUGUUCUGAAACUCAUAGACAGCAGUUAUGAAAUAAGUAUCAGAAAAUUGACAUGGGGCCAUUAGUUAUUACAUAGACUGUUCAUUCAUACACCAAUAGGCAAAUUUGCCACUAAACUACUUCAUUGACUGGGUUACUACAUCAAGCUUUAACUGUUGUCUAUGGCUUUAGGAAUAUAUGUGUUUGUGUGCAUGUGAGGUGGGGCAGUGAAGCAUUAUUAAGCUAUCAAAACCAAAAGCCAAUCAGAAGAGAUCAUCUCUACUUUAAAUUGCACAUUUUAGUUGCACCUAGCUUCACUGCUCGUUCUGCAAAAGGUGGAGGGUUUUGGUGGUAAGGGUUUUGCGCUACAACUCUUUGCCUGCUCAACUAAUGUUCUGUUUACUAUCUGUAGCUCAAUUGCCACACGUUUGGCUACCGGCCAUUGGAAAGUCAUCAGAAACACGGAUGACAUGCCAUGGUUACGAAGGUGGUGGCGCCAUUCGAUGCUUGCAAAUAUAACUCUUGCUGCAAAUGCUAAUGACACUGCUUUGGCAUGCAAUGUUUUGCUAGCUGAAGAACCGGCAAGCAAAAUUCAACGUAUGGGGGACAUACAUCCCGAGGAAUUCCUUAAACAGAGCACCAUGACAAGAAUCGAUGAAGCAGAAUGCUGGAUACGGGACAACAUGUCUCUUUUCCGUGGACAUGUUGAACUGCCCAGCAUACUGUCCAUGACAGGAGAGGAUCGACAGCAGUUCUUUCAGAACAUCACCAAUGAUGACGACAUCCAUGAUUCAAGAGAAUGCCUCCAUUUUGUUUUCGAAUAUCAAGAAGAUUGCACAGUUUUUUUUUUAUUGUUGUUCAGCUGUGUCGGCAAUCUUUAACACCCCUACCCUUUCCCCUUAGCCAGAGGACG